Molecule: ribosomal RNA, 480 nt
Filed under: Penicillium crustosum
Lineage: Eukaryota; Fungi; Ascomycota; Eurotiomycetes; Eurotiales; Aspergillaceae
Description: eukaryotic LSU rRNA
Rfam family: 5.8S ribosomal RNA (bases 100-252)
Source: RNAcentral
GGCCGGCGGGGGGCUUACGCCCCCGGGCCCGCGCCCGCCGAAGACACCCUCGAACUCUGUCUGAAGAUUGAAGUCUGAGUGAAAAUAUAAAUUAUUUAAAACUUUCAACAACGGAUCUCUUGGUUCCGGCAUCGAUGAAGAACGCAGCGAAAUGCGAUACGUAAUGUGAAUUGCAAAUUCAGUGAAUCAUCGAGUCUUUGAACGCACAUUGCGCCCCCUGGUAUUCCGGGGGGCAUGCCUGUCCGAGCGUCAUUGCUGCCCUCAAGCCCGGCUUGUGUGUUGGGCCCCGUCCCCCGAUCUCCGGGGGACGGGCCCGAAAGGCAGCGGCGGCACCGCGUCCGGUCCUCGAGCGUAUGGGGCUUUGUCACCCGCUCUGUAGGCCCGGCCGGCGCUUGCCGAUCAACCCAAAUUUUUAUCCAGGUUGACCUCGGAUCAGGUAGGGAUACCCGCUGAACUUAAGCAUAUCAGUAGGCGGAGGAA